Molecule: long non-coding RNA, 207 nt
Filed under: Ananas comosus (pineapple)
Lineage: Eukaryota; Viridiplantae; Streptophyta; Magnoliopsida; Poales; Bromeliaceae
Description: long non-coding RNA (ACOM_LNC003133)
Source: RNAcentral
UGAUUGGGUCGAGAGUGUUUGAGUUGUAUCUGACCCCGUUCUGUUUCUUUCAGAUUGCUGCCGAGGUUGACCGUCGACCAGGGAUCAAGUCGCACCGCUAGAGAUGCCUGACCAGGCAAAGCCGAGUGCACGACCGGAGGCAAGUGCACCCCCUGAUUUGAGAGAGCAAUUAGCUACCCUGACAGAGGUGAUUAAGCAGCAGAGUGU